Molecule: long non-coding RNA, 212 nt
Filed under: Eucalyptus grandis
Lineage: Eukaryota; Viridiplantae; Streptophyta; Magnoliopsida; Myrtales; Myrtaceae
Description: long non-coding RNA (EGRA_LNC005323)
Source: RNAcentral
ACGACACGAGGAACAAAACUUCCCAGAGCACGGCUCGGGUUCAGAGCCUGGAAACGGCCCAAAGCGGGCCUUGAACAGUGCUGGAAACCCAUUUUUCCAGCCAUUGUUCUUGGCUGGACGAAGCUCGUCCGGCGGCUAGGGCGGCGAGGGGAGGCCGGCGGAGGGCAAGGGGGACGCCGGGGAGGUCCGGCGAAGUUGGGCGGUGGCCGAAG